ACUUUAUUUAAUAAAUUUUGGAUUAGUAUUAAUAGUUGAAAUUUAACGGAUUUGGCGGCAAGAUAGCUUUUUAGAGGAACCUGCCCUGUAAACGAUGAACCGCGAAAGCCUUACUUUUUCUAGAGAUCAGUUUGUAUACCGCUGUUGUCAGUUAAAUCUUAGAAGAUAUUUUCUUAUUGAAAAAAUCAAGGACUUCAAGUAAAGGUGCAGCUUAUGAAAAAGAUAGAGGUGGGUUACAAUAAAAUGAAUUAUACAAAAUAAAUCUGUAAGAGGUUUAAGAAAGGUGGAUUUAACUGUAAGAUUAAA
Molecule: ribosomal RNA, 306 nt
Filed under: Xenobalanus globicipitis
Lineage: Eukaryota; Metazoa; Arthropoda; Thecostraca; Balanomorpha; Coronulidae
Description: partial 12S rRNA
Source: RNAcentral